CCCUUAGAUGUUCUGAACCGCACGCGUGUUACACUGAUGCAUUCAACGAGCUUUACCUUGGCCGAGAGGCCUGUGAAAUCUUUUUAGCAUGCAUCGUGAUAGGGAUUGAUUAUUGCAAUUAUUAAUCAUGAACGAGGAAUUCCUAGUAAACGCAUUUCAUCAAAAUGCAUUGAUUACGUCCCUGCCCUUUGUACACACCGCCCGUCGCACCUACCGAUUGAGUGGUCCGGUGAAGUCUCGAGAUUGUGGCAAUCUCCUUUAUUGGAGUUUGACUGCGAGAACUUGCCUAAACCUUAUCACUUAGAGGAAGGUGAAGUCGUAACA
This 324-nucleotide ribosomal RNA is filed under the name uncultured eukaryote. RNAcentral describes it as "partial 18S ribosomal RNA". It matches the Rfam family "Eukaryotic small subunit ribosomal RNA", at positions 1470 to 1796 of the family's 1831-position model. The record is from RNAcentral.